Molecule: ribosomal RNA, 292 nt
Filed under: uncultured bacterium
Lineage: Bacteria
Description: partial 16S ribosomal RNA
Rfam family: Bacterial small subunit ribosomal RNA
Source: RNAcentral
GUGCCAGCAGCCGCGGUAAUACGGAGGAUCCAAGCGUUAUCCGGAAUCAUUGGGUUUAAAGGGUCCGUAGGUGGAUAAUUAAGUCAGAGGUGAAAUCCUGCAGCUCAACUGUAGAAUUGCCUUUGAUACUGGUUAUCUUGAAUUAUUAUGAAGUAGUUAGAAUAUGUAGUGUAGCGGUGAAAUGCAUAGAUAUUACAUAGAAUACCAAUUGCGAAGGCAGAUUACUAAUAAUGGAUUGACACUGAUGGACGAAAGCGUGGGGAGCGAACAGGAUUAGAUACCCUGGUAGUCC